Molecule: ribosomal RNA, 248 nt
Filed under: uncultured bacterium
Lineage: Bacteria
Description: partial 16S ribosomal RNA
Rfam family: Bacterial small subunit ribosomal RNA
Source: RNAcentral
AAGAUGGCGACCGGCGCACGGGUGAGUAACACGUAUCCAACCUGCCGAUAACUCCGGAAUAGCCUUUCGAAAGAAAGAUUAAUACCGGAUAGUAUACGAAUAUCGCAUGAUAUUUUUAUUAAAGAAUUUCGGUUAUCGAUGGGGAUGCGUUCCAUUAGUUUGUUGGCGGGGUAACGGCCCACCAAGACUACGAUGGAUAGGGGCUCUGAGAGGAAGGUCCCCCACAUUGGAACUGAGACACGGUCCAA